Molecule: long non-coding RNA, 316 nt
Organism: Python bivittatus (Burmese python)
Lineage: Eukaryota; Metazoa; Chordata; Lepidosauria; Squamata; Pythonidae
Source: RefSeq, a predicted model, not a curated record
ACCGCGCUGUAAACUCUCCACUUGAAGAGCUCCUGCAGAAGGGGAGGCCCAACCGUUGCCCGAGCGGAUUGGUUCUGCUGUCAGGGCUUGGGAGAUGCAAGCUGAAUGAGAGGGCAGCAGAGCAGCCUGCUUUUGCCUCCGGAGGGCGACAAAGAGCAGCACCAGGGCUAGGUGCCAGCAGGAAGUUGCAUUGGCGUGAGAUGGACGGACCACGUGGGAGGAGAAGAUGAGAUAGUGCCCACGCAGGCGAGGAUGGCAAGCAGAGCACCGGUGCUGAGGCCAGCAGGAGAUCCAAGGGCCUCGGGCCCACAAGCCU